UGCUGGAGGUAUCAGAAGUGCGAAUGCUGACAUAAGUAACGAUAAAGCGGGUGAAAAGCCCGCUCGCCGGAAGACCAAGGGUUCCUGUCCAACGUUAAUCGGGGCAGGGUGAGUCGACCCCUAAGGCGAGGCCGAAAGGCGUAGUCGAUGGGAAACGGGUUAAUAUUCCCGUACUUGGUGUUACUGCGAAGGGGGGACGGAGAAGGCUAUGUUGGCCGGGCGACGGUUGUCCCGGUUUAAGCGUGUAGGUGUGUGUUCCAGGUAAAUCCGGUUCACUUUAACACUGAGGCGUGAYGACGAGGCACUACGGUGCUGAAGCAACAAAUGCCCUGCUUCCAGGAAAAGCCUCUAAGCAUCAGGUAACAUCAAAUCGUACCCCAAACCGACACAGGUGGUCAGGUAGAGAAUACCAAGGCGCUUGAGAGAACUCGGGUGAAGGAACUAGGCAAAAUGGUGCCGUAACUUCGGGAGAAGGCACGCUGACACGUAGGUGAAGUGAUUUACUCACGGAGCUGAAGUCAGUCGAAGAUACCAGCUGGCUGCAACUGUUUAUUAAAAACACAGCACUGUGCAAACACGAAAGUGGACGUAUACGGUGUGACGCCUGCCCGGUGCCGGAAGGUUAAUUGAUGGGGUCAGCGCAAGCGAAGCUCCUGAUCGAAGCCCCGGUAAACGGCGGCCGUAACUAUAAC
This 692-nucleotide ribosomal RNA is filed under the name Salmonella enterica. RNAcentral's name for it is "partial 23S ribosomal RNA". Lineage: Bacteria; Pseudomonadati; Pseudomonadota; Gammaproteobacteria; Enterobacterales; Enterobacteriaceae. The record is from RNAcentral.